CCUACGGGAGGCAGCAGUGGGGAAUAUUGGUCAAUGGACGCAAGUCUGACCCAGCCACGUCGCGUGAAGGAAGAAGGCUCUCGGGUUGUAAACUUUCUUUAAGGGGGAAGAGGAGUAGACGGUACCCCUUGAAUAAGCUACGGCUAAUUACGUGCCAGCAGCUGCGGUAAUCCGCAGGUGGCAAGUGUUGUCCGGAUUUACUGGGUGUAAAGGGCGUGCAGCCUGGCCGACAAGUAAGAUGUGAAUGCCGCGGGCGUAACCCGAGAACUGCAUUUGAAACUAUAGGUCUUGAGUGCCGGAGAGGUGAUCGGAAUUCCUUGUGUAGCGGUGAAAUGCGUAGAUAUAAGGAAGAACACCAGUGGCGAAGGCAGAUUACUGGACGGUAACUGACGGUGAGGCGCGAAAGCGUGGGGAGCAAACAGGAUUAGAUACCCUAGUAGUC
This 442-nucleotide ribosomal RNA is filed under the name uncultured bacterium. Its description in RNAcentral is "partial 16S ribosomal RNA". It matches the Rfam family "Bacterial small subunit ribosomal RNA", at positions 338 to 795 of the family's 1533-position model. The record is from RNAcentral.